AUUGAACGCUGGCGGCAUGCUUUACACAUGCAAGUCGAACGGCAGCGCGGGCUUCGGCCUGGCGGCGAGUGGCGAACGGGUGAGUAAUGCAUCGGAACGUGCCCAGUAGUGGGGGAUAGCCCUGCGAAAGCCGGAUUAAUACCGCAUACGACCUGAGGGUGAAGGCGGGGGACCGAAAGGCCUCGCGCUAUUGGAGCGGCCGAUGUCGGAUUAGCUAGUUGGUGGGGUAAAGGCUUACCAAGGCGACGAUCCGUAGCUGGUCUGAGAGGACGACCAGCCACACUGGGACUGAGACACGGCCCAGACUCCUACGGGAGGCAGCAGUGGGGAAUUUUGGACAAUGGGGGCAACCCUGAUCCAGCCAUGCCGCGUGCGGGAAGAAGGCCUUCGGGUUGUAAACCGCUUUUGUUCGGGAAGAAAUCCUCUGGGCUAAUACCCCGGGGGGAUGACGGUACCGGAAGAAUAAGCACCGGCUAACUACGUG
RNAcentral lists this ribosomal RNA (484 nucleotides) under uncultured bacterium. Its description in RNAcentral is "partial 16S ribosomal RNA". It matches the Rfam family "Bacterial small subunit ribosomal RNA", at positions 28 to 507 of the family's 1533-position model. The record is from RNAcentral.